CUGGCGGGGCGAGCUCUGUGGGGGCGGGGCUAAGGCGGCGCGGCGCGGCGGCCAUUUCGGGCGCGGCGAUGUCGGGCGCGGCACUGGACGGGGCGCUGGGGAAGGCGGCGGCGGCGGCGACGACGACGACAGCGCGGCCGCGGCGGAAGCUCCUAAGCGCGGAGGAGGCGGAGCUGUUCGAGCUGGCGCAGGCGGCGGGGAGCGGGCUGGACCCGGAGGUGUUCAAGGUGCUGCUGGACCUGCUGCGCAUGAACGUGGCGCCGCUCGCCGUCUUCCAGAUGCUCAAGUCCAUGUGUGCCGGGCAGCGGCUGCCGGCGGGCGCGGAGGGCGGCCCCGCUGCGGCGCCGGCGCCGCUCCCCGCCGACACCCGAGAGGCCCCCACGGACAGUAAAAUCCCCGCGCCGCUCGCCUUCGCCUCCGCCCUGCGGCCUCCGCGGCUCGGCGGCGCGAAGCUGGUGGUCUGCAGCCCCGCCGACGGCCGCCCGCCUCUCUCGCAAGUGACUUUUGGCUGGUAGCCUGCAACUUCUGGAUAUCUAUGGAUUACGUCUAAAAGGUUUAAAAGAGUUUCCUCUUUCUUGCUGAGUGAAAGAGGUGCUCUUGGUUAAGAAUUCCCUGAUGAGAGGUCAUUUGUAGUAAGGAGAACAGCAAGAUGUGUGAUUAAGAAGUGACUCUAAAGACGUACAGGGGAAAAAGAAGACACCUGGCUGACUGUUUUCCUGAGCUGAGAAAGAGGUACAGCACUUGCACAUUUUAAGUAACAAACAACAUGCUAUUCCUGUACUAUGUUGAGAGGAAAUGUCCUCAAAAGAAAACAGCAGUUUUGAACAGAAGAUGCUGUUAAAUUUUGCUUUUUCUUCUUCUCUCUUGAUGCUUCAGGUGUGGUGGGACACUCAAAAACUAUGAACGAACUUUGGGAGAAAUAAAACCAGUUCUGCCGCCAGCGGGACCCAGGUUCUAGCAGAAAGGAGCAGCCGGGAAGGAUCUGCCCAGAGGAUGCCUCGACAACCAAGUGCUAGCCGGCUGCAGAAAGUAGGAGCUUCUGGAAAGAACAGUGGAGGCAACAGUACCUGAAUAAGACACUGGCUCUGAUGUAUUUUGAUGCUUUAAAAUGUAUAUAAUCUGUCCUGUGAAACUGCAUGUUU
This is an RNA transcript of Dromaius novaehollandiae (emu), 1142 nucleotides long. It is a transcript of the gene named mitotic-spindle organizing protein 2B-like, with no coding region annotated. The record is from RefSeq and is a predicted model, not a curated record. The transcript is spliced from 6 exons. NCBI's taxonomy places the organism in Eukaryota, Metazoa, Chordata, Aves, Casuariiformes, Dromaiidae.